This 1503-nucleotide ribosomal RNA is filed under the name uncultured Bordetella sp. RNAcentral describes it as "partial 16S-23S ribosomal RNA intergenic spacer". It matches the Rfam family "Bacterial small subunit ribosomal RNA". The record is from RNAcentral. Lineage: Bacteria; Pseudomonadati; Pseudomonadota; Betaproteobacteria; Burkholderiales; Alcaligenaceae.
AUGAUCGUGUCCAGAUUGAACGCUGGCGGGAUGCUUUACACAUGCAGUCGAACGGCGGCACGGACUUCGGUCUGGUGGCGAGUGGCGAACGGGUGAGUAAUGUAUCCGGAACGUGCCUAGUAGCAGGAUAACUGCACUGAAAGCGUCAACUAUGCCACAUACACCCUUCGGGGAAAAGCGGGGGACCUUCAGUUUAGCACUGUGAAACCAGCCGAUAUCGGAUUAGCUAGUUGGUGGGGUAACGGCUCACCAAGGCGACGAUCGUAGCUGGUUUGAGAAGGACGACCAGCCACUGGGACUGAGACACGGCCCAGACUCCUACAGGAGAGCGACAGUGAGGUACCGGACAAUGGGGGGGAAACCCUGAUCCAAGCCAUCCGCGUGUGCGAUGAAGGCCUUCGGGUUGUAAAGCACUUUUUGGCGGAAAAGAAACAGCUACGGGAUAAUACCCGUGCAACUGACGGUACCUAAAAUAUAAGCACCGGCUAACUACAUUUUCAACCAGCCACUUUGCAGUAAUACGUAAGUGCAAGCGUUAAUCGGAAUUUUGGGCGUAAAGCGUGCGAGCGGUUCGGAAAGAAGAUGUGAAAUCCCAGAGCAACACGGAACUGUUUUGCUGUUGGCUAGAGUGUCAAGAGGUGGAAUUCCGCGUGUAGCAGUGAAAUGCGUAGAUAUGUACAUGGAGAGGAACCUGCGAUGGCGAAGGCGCAGCCUCUAUAUGGGAUAACACUGACGCUCAUGCACGAAAGCGUGGGAGCCGCAGCAGGAUUAGAUACCCUGGUAGUCCACGCCCUAAACAGUGUCAACUAGCUGUUGGGGCAUGCUUCGGGCCUUGGUAUCACGCAGCUAACUGCCGCCGUGAAGUUGAUACCUGGGAGAAUACGGUCACCAUAGAAAUUAAACUCGAAAGAUUGACGGGGACCCGCACAAGCGGUGGACAGUGUGGAUUAAUUCAGUACAGCAGCGAAAACCUUACCUACCCUUGACAUGUCUGGAAUCCUCGAAGAGGUCAGGAGUAUAAAGACGGAACACAAGGUGCUGUGCUGUCGUCAGCUCGUGUCGUGAGAUGUUGUUUAAGUCCCGCAACGAAGGCGCAACCUACAAUGUCAUUAGUUACUACCGAAGGGCACUCUAGUAAGGAUUUAUGCCGUGACAAACCGGAGGAAGGUGAGGAUGACGUCAAGUCCUCAUGGCCCUUAUGGGUAGGGCUUCACACGUCAUACAAUGGUCGGGACAGAGGGUCGCCAACUUACGAGAAAUUCCAAUCCCGAAACCCGAUCGUAGUCCGGAUCACUGAGUCUGCAACUCGACUGCGUGAAGGGGAGUCGAAUCACUUCAUCAAUCGCGGAUCAGCAUGUCGCGGUGAAUACGUUCCAGGUCUGUACACACCGCCCGUCACACCAUGGGAGUGGGUUUUACCAGAAGUAGUUAGCCUAACCGUAAGGAGGGCGAUUACCACGGUAGGAUUCAUGACUGGGAAUUGAAGUCGUAGCCUCAAGGUAG